UAGAGUUUGAUCCUGGCUCAGGAUGAACGCUGGCGGCGUGCUUAACACAUGCAAGUCGAACGGUGAAGCAGGAGCUUGCUCUUGUGGAUCAGUGGCGAACGGGUGAGUAACACGUGAGCAACCUGCCCCUGACUCUGGGAUAAGCGCUGGAAACGGCGUCUAAUACUGGAUAUGUGACGUGACCGCAUGGUCUGCGUUUGGAAAGAUUUUUCGGUUGGGGAUGGGCUCGCGGCCUAUCAGCUUGUUGGUGAGGUAAUGGCUCACCAAGGCGUCGACGGGUAGCCGGCCUGAGAGGGUGACCGGCCACACUGGGACUGAGACACGGCCCAGACUCCUACGGGAGGCAGCAGUGGGGAAUAUUGCACAAUGGGCGAAAGCCUGAUGCAGCAACGCCGCGUGAGGGAUGACGGCCUUCGGGUUGUAAACCUCUUUUAGCAGGGAAGAAGCGAAAGUGACGGUACCUGCAGAAAAAGCGCCGGCUAACUACGUGCCAGCAGCCGCGGUAAUACGUAGGGCGCAAGCGUUAUCCGGAAUUAUUGGGCGUAAAGAGCUCGUAGGCGGUUUGUCGCGUCUGCUGUGAAAUCCCGAGGCUCAACCUCGGGCCUGCAGUGGGUACGGGCAGACUAGAGUGCGGUAGGGGAGAUUGGAAUUCCUGGUGUAGCGGUGGAAUGCGCAGAUAUCAGGAGGAACACCGAUGGCGAAGGCAGUCACGGGCCGUAACGACGCGAGAGGAAAGUGGAGCUAUUGAACCCA
Molecule: ribosomal RNA, 753 nt
Filed under: Microbacterium paraoxydans
Lineage: Bacteria; Bacillati; Actinomycetota; Actinomycetes; Micrococcales; Microbacteriaceae
Description: bacterial SSU rRNA
Rfam family: Bacterial small subunit ribosomal RNA
Source: RNAcentral